UUAACACAUGCAAGUCGAGGGGCAGCAUGGUCUUAGCUUGCUAAGGCCGAUGGCGACCGGCGCACGGGUGAGUAACACGUAUCCAACCUGCCGUCUACUCUUGGACAGCCUUCUGAAAGGAAGAUUAAUACAAGAUGGCAUCAUGAGUCCGCAUGUUCACAUGAUUAAAGGUAUUCCGGUAGACGAUGGGGAUGCGUUCCAUUAGAUAGUAGGCGGGGUAACGGCCCACCUAGUCUUCGAUGGAUAGGGGUUCUGAGAGGAAGGUCCCCCACAUUGGAACUGAGACACGGUCCAAACUCCUACGGGAGGCAGCAGUGAGGAAUAUUGGUCAAUGGGCGAGAGCCUGAACCAGCCAAGUAGCGUGAAGGAUGACUGCCCUAUGGGUUGUAGACUUCUUUUAUAAAGGAAUAAAGUCGGGUAUGGAUACCCGUUUGCAUGUACUUUAUGAAUAAGGAUCGGCUAACUCCGUGCCAGCAGCCGCGGUAAUACGGAGGAUCCGAGCGUUAUCCGGAUUUAUUGGGUUUAAAGGGAGCGUAGAUGGAUGUUUAAGUCAGUUGUGAAAGUUUGCGGCUCAACCGUAAAAUUGCAGUUGAUACUGGAUAUCUUGAGUGCAGUUGAGGCAGGCGGAAUUCGUGGUGUAGCGGUGAAAUGCUUAGAUAUCACGAAGAACUCCGAUUGCGAAGGCAGCCUGCUAAGCUGCAACUGACAUUGAGGCUCGAAAGUGUGGGUAUCAAACAGGAUUAGAUACCCUGGUAGUCCACACGGUAAACGAUGAAUACUCGCUGUUUGCGAUAUACUGCAAGCGGCCAAGCGAAAGCGUUAAGUAUUCCACCUGGGGAGUACGCCGGCAACGGUGAAACUCAAAGGAAUUGACGGGGGCCCGCACAAGCGGAGGAACAUGUGGUUUAAUUCGAUGAUACGCGAGGAACCUUACCCGGGCUUAAAUUGCAGAUGAAUUACGGUGAAAGCCGUAAGCCGCAAGGCAUCUGUGAAGGUGCUGCAUGGUUGUCGUCAGCUCGUGCCGUGAGGUGUCGGCUUAAGUGCCAUAACGAGCGCAACCCUUGUUGUCAGUUACUAACAGGUCAUGCUGAGGACUCUGACAAGACUGCCAUCGUAAGAUGUGAGUAAGGUGGGGAUGACGUCAAAUCAGCACGGCCCUUACGUCCGGGGCUACACACGUGUUACAAUGGGGGGUACAGAGGGCCGCUACCACGCGAGUGGAUGCCAAUCCCCAAAACCUCUCUCAGUUCGGACUGGAGUCUGCAACCCGACUCCACGAAGCUGGAUUCGCUAGUAAUCGCGCAUCAGCCACGGCGCGGUGAAUACGUUCCCGGGCCUUGUACACACUGCCCGUCAAGCCAUGGGAGCCGGGGGUACCUGAAGUGCGUAACCGCGAGGAGCGCCCUAGGGUAAAACUGGUGACUGGGGCU
This 1430-nucleotide ribosomal RNA is filed under the name uncultured organism. RNAcentral's name for it is "SSU rRNA". It matches the Rfam family "Bacterial small subunit ribosomal RNA". The record is from RNAcentral.